GCAGGAGCAACAUCACUCCAGCAUGCUCUAGUCCAUGAGGAAAUAUCAUGACACCCUGUGGUGCACUGCUGAACUUUUGGGAACUGGCAAGCCUGAAUCAGAAGUGCUACUGGUCCAUGAAGAUAUGCCUCUAGAAAGAAUAUCAAGUACUGGCCCAACAGAACCGUGGAAAAGACUGCCUAUAAUUGCCUUUAUUGCCUUAACAUUCUGCACUGUGGCGGGUAUUGUACAUGCAUCGUGAAGUACAUUGUAUUUUGAGCCACCAAACUGCAGGAGCUCGCUUCCUACCUGCUCAGUCAUUGGUUCAUGCUGUGAAGGGGUUGGAGUGUAGUGGAAUUCCUAGGUCACAGUCUGAACCAAUGGGUGAGCACAUGAGUGCCUGGAGCGGGGGGGGGGGGGCUAGAGUCACCCCUUCUGUCUCAGGGAUGCUUCUUGGAGCGCGUGUGCAGUCUGAGCCUGUGUGCGUUCCCUUUCCCCCGCCCUUCUGCAGCGCAAGAAUGCGAACAGGAGAAGGCUGCGUUCCUCAGCUCGCCCCUUUUUCCAAACUGUUUUUUGGAGGGCUGAUGAGGUGCCCUUCUAUGUUACAAGGAAUUCCUUUUACAUCACAGUGGUAGAGCUGGUUAAAAACACCAUCUGCUCUCAUAAAUGCCUGGACUGUGUUUAGCCACACUAUUCAAAAACUUGAGAAUAGCUACUGAAAGCUGGAGAUGAACCCUUGAAGUACACUGGAUGACAUCCGAACACAUCCAACAGUUAAGUGAAGGACCAAGUACUAUAAAAAGUCAAGUUACCCAGCUAAAGAGGAGAACGUGCCAGCUCCAUCUAGUUCAUAGAUUACAGCUAUCCUUUGGAAGCAGAGUGAUGAAUACUACUCAGACUACUCCUCUGGCUGAGACAAGCAACCCAUUGUGCCACCGUUUGUGCCUGGGCCACCCCUGUCAUAGGAAGGCAACAAUCUGGAAAGGGAUAGCAUGAAUUAUUCUUGAAUUAAAUCCUAUUAAAGGAGAGAAAAAACACAGCACAAAGAAAUUCAGGAGGCUAAGCAAAGCCAGGAAAAAAAAAAAAUGAAGAUCAACACUGAAAUAUGAAUUCUGAAGUCAACAAUAUUCAACUACAUGCACUCUGUCCAGGAGAUCUAGAAUUAAGGCAAAUUCAAAGAAAUACAUGAAGAAAACAUUGGUUCCCUGUGUUAUUAACAGCUAUCCAAGGUCACUGAUCAAAUCACACAAUAGUUCAGAAAUGUAUAAAAAUGCAUUUGCAGGAGCCAAAUUUGCAGGUUGAGAAUCUGCAUUCUACACUGUGGCCUUUUUGUCAUGGAGAUAACCAACUUUUCUAAGCAUUUCUAAAAACUUCUGACUUCAUUCCCUUUGAAUAACAGGAAAUAUCUAUACACAUGAAAAGCAAUGUCCUGCCAUGAUUUAAGAACUAGAAGAGAAAUACAUACACACACACAUAUAUACAUUCUUCCUAUAUUCUAUAUAUAUUCUUAAACUUUCCUGCUUCUCCAAAUCAAGCAAAAAUUCAUUCUACCAUAAAGCAGAUAUUCACACGAGAGAGAUAUUUCACUAUACAGAAGUACAACAUUUAACCCACUAUUUUUCUCCACCUUCCUCCUUUGGUGUUAGCAGUAACACUUCAGGAGAACAUUUUUAGGAAAAAUACUUGUUAAUUAAAAAAAAUAACCUCCAACUUCAUUUUAAUGCUCAGCAUCUGUUGUUUUGGGAAAUUCUGUACAAAGCUACAUAAUAUUACACAGAAUCACAAAUGAAAUUAACCAAAGGAUGGCUCGAUGUGAAACACAUCUUUAGAAAGCAUGCUAAUUCCACACCAAUAACUAAUAAUGAUUGACAUAAAAGGAGUAAACAAGAACAAGGUUGAAAACACAAGGUUCCUUUAUAGUAUCAUAGCCAUCAAGUUUAAGGCAAUUCAUAACUUUGUUUUUAUUUUUUAAAUAAUUGGAUACUUGGUUGCAUAUCUUCCUCCUUUUAAGUCUAAAGCAUUCUUAGCAAGAAGGCAAAGUUUUUAGUGGAUGUCAUACUUAUUACCUAGUGCUCCUGACACUUUGCUUACUAAUGACUAUUGCACAGAACAAGCAAACCAAUAUUAUGAAUGAAUGCUAUUCUUCACUGGUUCACUGCUUCCAGCUGGGAUGGAGUUAACUUCCUUCACAGUUGUCUAUACAGUGCUGCAUUUUGAAACUGUGAUUAUAUCAGUGCUGAUAACACACCAGUGUUUUGGCCAUUGCUGAGAAGUACUUGCACAGCAUACUGCUUUUUCUUUUUCUCUUCUCUGCCUCCCUCAGAGAGUAAGCUGAAGGUGCACCAGAAAUUGACUUGAGAUAUUCCAAUCCAAAUGGCAUUAUGCUCAGCUACACAAGAUCAUGGAAAGAAGAAGGAACAUUUAUUGUUUUCAUCCUUUCAAGUAACCAUUACACAUGCUGAAAUCCUUCUUUCCAGGAGGUGGCUAAACAUCUGCCUAGCAAUGACAAAUAGUGAAUAAAUUCCUUUAUUUUGCUCUGCUUGCACACAUGACUUCGCUUAAUUUAUUAAACUUGUUUAAAUGAUGAAGACCUUGACCUAUGAGUUUUCAGCUUUCUUAUUCUCUCCUCCAUCUCACUGUGGAGGGAGCUAGCAAGCAACUGCGUGGGUUCUGAGCUGUUAGCAAGAGGGAACACACCAUACAUGACCAUGCUCAAACACAACUGUUUUUGCAAUUACACUCCAUAUAGUUCUUUUUACUUUGGGGAAUUUUGAAUAAAGAAGACAGAUCUUGAUAUUUGAUUCCGUUUUGUCUAAUAUACUCGUAGCAGUUUAAAGGGGACGGAAGAUCCAAUUUAGAAUCAAAAAAUGCAGUCAUUCAUAAUUCAAGAACUUUAUUUAUGAAAGAAAUUUAUGAAAAACUUCAGGCAAAUAAAUGUAGGUACACUAAAAAUUAGAUUCAAGAUUGCCAAGCUGCAACCUAAAGCUUGUCUUUUGUGUAUGAAGAAUACUAUAUAAAUUAGUAAAAUAAUUACUAAUAUGUAUAAAAAUAUUAUGGGAACUACCCUUACUGACUGUGUGUCAUGGUUUUACGAUUUUUGGUUACUGGUAUUCUAUAUCAUAACAUAAUGUAGUGCAUUGGGAGUUAAAGUAUUAAUUCUGCAGUUCUGGGUACCUGUCCGGAAGAGAAGAAGAGCUACAUACCCCAGGGGGCUUUGCAGUCAGAGAGGAGAUAUAACCUCUGGCAAGGUCACCUGAUGCCUCCCUUUUCGAUCGUCAGCCUCUCCUCACUACUACUUGUCCUGACUGCAUGCAUCGCCUCAGCACUACCAUAAGGCCUACAGUUUUCAGAUAAUCUUUCUCUCAUUAUAUUUAUUAGCUUCAAUUCAAAUUAUAUUGUAUUAUAGUGUGUUAUCUUUCAUUCCGAUACUGUAUUUAGUAAAUUAGUUUGUUUCUCCUUGUCA
This 3442-nucleotide long non-coding RNA is filed under the name Gallus gallus (chicken). Its description in RNAcentral is "lncRNA (ENSGALG00010009589.1)". The record is from RNAcentral. Lineage: Eukaryota; Metazoa; Chordata; Aves; Galliformes; Phasianidae.